CCUACGGGGGGCAGCAGUGAGGAAUAUUGGUCAAUGGACGAAAGUCUGAACCAGCCAUGCCGCGUGCAGGAUGACGGCUCUAUGAGUUGUAAACUUCUUUUAUAAAGGAAUAAAACGAGGCACGUGUGCCUCUUUGCAUGUACUUUAUGAAUAAGGAUCGGCUAACUCCGUGCCAGCAGCCGCGGUAAUACGGAGGAUCCGAGCGUUAUCCGGAUUUAUUGGGUUUAAAGGGAGCGUAGAUGGGUUGUUAAGUCAGUUGUGAAAGUUUGCGGCUCAACCGUAAAAUUGCAGUUGAUACUGGCAGUCUUGAGUGCAGUUGAGGUAGGCGGAAUUCGUGGUGUAGCGGUGAAAUGCUUAGAUAUCACGAAGAACCCCGAUUGCGAAGGCAGCUUACUAAACUGUGACUGACAUUGAUGCUCGAAAGUGUGGGUAUCAAACAGGAUUAGAUACCCGAGUAGUC
Molecule: ribosomal RNA, 460 nt
Filed under: uncultured bacterium
Lineage: Bacteria
Description: partial 16S ribosomal RNA
Rfam family: Bacterial small subunit ribosomal RNA
Source: RNAcentral